GGAGGGACGCAGGAGGCUAAGCGAACCGCAUGAUUGGAAGAGUGCGGCCAAGCAACAAGUCAGUAACUGAGUCAAAUGCUUAGUUGCGGGUUGACAAGUUGUGAUGGGGAGUGAAAUUUUAGUAACGAAGUCGCUGAUGUCACACUGCCGAGAAAAGCUUCUAGUGAGUAUUCAACUGCCCGUACCGCAAACCGACACAGGUAGUCGAGGAGA
Molecule: ribosomal RNA, 213 nt
Rfam family: Bacterial large subunit ribosomal RNA
Source: Rfam